GACCGCCAUAGCGGAAGGAACGAAGCAUGUGCCCCUAGAUGAGUAGAUCUAUCUUGCGGCGAACAUGCAUCAGACUCGACGCGAUAUGCAGUCAGCACUGGUUAUUUUGUUGUUAAACUAUCUGGGACAUUUUUUUUUUGGUCAUGUCUGUUUGUCUUCUAUUGUCAACUUUAUCCUUCGCCAUAACCUUCGAAUCAUGACUGAUGAGAUCUAGAGACUUCAUAUUUGUAUCAUUAGGGGCCUACCAUGCUGCCGUUACUCAUUCGUGGUGUAUAUCUGCAUUCGAUCAACAAAAAGAGGUACCAGUUUGAAAAUCAUAAGGAAAAGAAUCCAUCUGUCUUCUGAUGAGGGAACGCAACAAACUUAUUCCUCACAAACACUGUCGUCCGAAUCUGAGUCAUCAAUUGCUGCUGCAUCCUGAAGCGAUUCCCCCCAGUUCUGUACACCAUAUGAACCACUCCUUUGUUCAUGUCUGGAGAAUCCAAGAAACCACAGCACAGCUGCCACAUGCGAACACACUCCCACGACACGCGCUCCAGCUCGGCAUUUGCAGUACGUGGCUAUCACCUGUGUCUCAUUAAACUGGAUCCAUAAUGUGUGCUUCCUGGAUGAGACGUGUCUAGAUUGCAUCUUCACCUGAAUUAGCCCUGGAUCCUCACGAUGGACAUAGAUGUCUGCUUCCCCUUCUAUGUGUUCCUGAAUGUAGCUAGAACUUAGCCGAAGUUGGUAACUACCACAAGUAAUGUUGGACAGAUCCUCCUCGUCGAGUUGUGGAAAUCCAUCCAAAGUAUCAAUCGACUUCCAAAUGACACUUCGUCUGUCUAGACCAUUUUCCAAAACAUAAUGUUGCAGGUAGUUCUUCUGAUGGGAAAGGUACAGCAUCUUUGCUGCAAUGUGUUCAUCAUCAGCUGUAGUUUUGGACAGAGGGGGUGCAAACUUAUUGGACAAAGCGCAAACAAUGCGGACAUAGUCGCCAAUGUAAGGCACUUGAUUUGUUGAAAUACUUACUUUUGAUACAAGUCUGGAGGAAUUGGCAUCUUCAGUGGAAAGUUGUUUCUCUCCUUUUUUAAGGAAGGAUGGCAUCUGGGCUUUUAUACCGAGAUCCUCUAGUACUUGAAGGGAGUCCCGAAAACCGCGAUCAACAACAAAUACAUCAUCUUCCUGGACCCAUUCACGCAUUGCAUCAGCAUUUCUACUCAUGGCAUGGUUGAGGAUAGCUGCGUCAUUGUUCUUCGAAUCUGCAAAGUAUGGGCCUAAAAUGGACAGGAUGUAUCCAGAUGUAGAGCAGAUGACCAUGGGCUUAACCAGGGGACGUCCUUUGUGCAUGCUAUAGGUGCGCCUUUGGAAUUUGAAGUUUUCACUUUUUUGGAUAUAGAUGUAAGUUCCAUCUAUUACCAGAAUGGCCUUGGGGUCCCCUGCAUCACCAAAUAAAAACUGAGCUAAUGGCCUCGUGUGAUCGGAAAUGAUGGCCUCCCUUGAAAUAUGUUGAAAACCAAGGUUGUUUGGUACGAAAGUUGACAUCAGUGAUUUUCUUACAGAAGAAAUUGCACGACGCAAGCUUGAUUUUGAUAUUCCAAAUAAGGUGGCCAUGAUUUUGUUUGGAAGUCCAGACUUCAUCUUCAUAAGAAAGAUGGCAACGGAUGCCUUGAUGCUUCUACUGGGUGUGUUGCGCAUUUCCUGUGAGGCACAAUUGCAGAGAUCCUCAAAGUCCCUCUUGUUCAGCCCUGUCAAAUUCAGAUAAUCUUCAUCCGACAUCUCUCUAUCAUCAUCAAAAUCUAAUCUUGACUUGGAAAUUGAUGCCACGAUAUCUUUAAGUUUAGAUAUCAGAGCCAUGAUAUCCUCGCCAUCCAACAAGACCUGAUCUCGAAAGUGAACAUAAUCACCAUCCACUAUCCUUCCAUCUUUAAUAUGGUUUGGACAACAUCUUGCACCCGCUGGCAACAGGAUGUUAUGCUGGGCAAAAAAAUGUACCCUAGCAUCUGAAGAAACAGAUAACAAUUUUGGUCCUGGGCGCUUGCAGAGACAGCAAUAGGCAUGGGUUUUUACCGUUGUUUUGAUGGGGAGGCUGAUAACAGUUUGGCCAGGUUCACAAUUGUCUGCUUGAAUUACUUCUGACGCACUGAACUGUUUUUUUUUGUAAAAAUUCAAAUUACACUUCGUGCAGAUAACAUCUCCUUCCUGAGCCUCAACCAUGAAGUUUUUUUGUAAGUACUUAGCAGUGUCUUUAUGGACAUGUUUACGAGUUUUAGGCUUUGUUCUGCAUUUACAGAGUAUGCAGUUGAAGAAUUUGGGUCCAAAACCAGGCAUUCUAAAGUGAAAAUAAAGUUUAUUUUCUUUUAAUAAAAAAAUAUUGUUGUAUUGUAGUAAGGUCACAUUUAAUAAAAUUUAUCAAAAUAUUAAAUGUGUUUGAUUAUAUUAUUUAAUGUGAUUUCAAUGUUUACCUGGCCAUGUGCUUGUGUUGUGAUUUGAGUUGUGUGUAGUGUUUUGUCUAGUUUGGUAGUGUCAUGUAAUGCAUUAUUAUGGUAAUUGAGGCCUUGCCCUUUCCUGUCAUCGGUUAGGUCAGUUAGGUCAUUGCUGAGUAUAGUAUGUACUUGUUAUUUUAGAUAUUUUUAUUACUUUGAAUUGGUUAAUGAAGCUACUGGCUGUAAAGUAUGUUUGACAAAUAUUUUUGAUCUACCAAGCUUAAUCAUCAAAAUCUAUUUUUUACUUCUACUUUUAUGUUUUAUCUGUAAAGCUCUAUGAAUCUGUCCAGUUGAAAUUAAGAGUUAUUGCCCUUUGUUCAGAGUGCAGUACUGUAUAUAUUUAUCAUGAGGUACAUGUAAAGCAUAAUAUUGAACAUUUUGUCAUAUACUAUUAUAUUUCAUGUGAUGUAUAUUAUUUGUUUAUGCUUGUAAUUAUUUGCUUUACAGAUUUAAAUGUAUUUAUAUUUAUGUUUAUAAUUUUAGGGCUAAUCAUCAAUCAUUGAUCUAUCAGAAUAUAAUAAAUUCAUGAACCCUUACAGUGUCUUAUUCUUAUUGGACCUGUAACAGUAUGAAUCCUCAGAUAUGAGAGACAAGUUUAGUCAUCUUAAUAUUUCAGAUUUCAAAGAAUUAAUUUUUUAUUGAUUUGUACUUUAUGACUGUCAUUUAUUAUAUAUACUGUAAAUAAAAAUGAGGAUGUAUGAAA
This is a long non-coding RNA of Saccostrea cuccullata (small rock oyster), 3165 nucleotides long. RefSeq lists it as uncharacterized. Lineage: Eukaryota; Metazoa; Mollusca; Bivalvia; Ostreida; Ostreidae. The transcript has 5 exons. The record is from RefSeq and is a predicted model, not a curated record.